GACGAACGCUGGCGGCGUGCUUAACACAUGCAAGUCGAACGGAAGGGCCCCUUUGGGGGUACUCGAGUGGCGAACGGGUGAGUAACACGUGAGUAACCUGCCCUUGACUUCGGGAUAACUUCAGGAAACUGGGGCUAAUACCGGAUAGGAAUCCUUGCUGCAUGGUGGGGGUUGGAAAGCUUCGGCGGUUUUGGAUGGACUCGCGGCUUAUCAGCUUGUUGGUGGGGUAGUGGCUUACCCAGGCUUUGACGGGUAGCCGGCCUGAGAGGGCGACCGGCCACAUUGGGAAUGAGAUACGGGCCAGACUCCCACGGGGGGGAGCAGUUGGGAAUAUUGCACAAUUGGCGGAAGCCUGAUGCAGGAACGGCGGGGGCGGGAUGACGGGCCUCGGGUUGGAAACCGCUUUCCGCAGGGGCGAAGCUGGUGGUGACGGUACCUGCAGAAGAAGCACCGGCUAACUACGUG
Molecule: ribosomal RNA, 465 nt
Filed under: uncultured bacterium
Lineage: Bacteria
Description: partial 16S ribosomal RNA
Rfam family: Bacterial small subunit ribosomal RNA
Source: RNAcentral